UAUAAAGGCACCCCAUGUUUUCAUUUCAAGUUACAUUUUUAGAGAUUUUAGAGAUUUUAGAGAUUUUAAAGGUUUUAGAGAUUUUUAGAGAUUUUAGAGUGUUUUAGAGAUUUUAGAGACUUUGAAAGGAAUAGAAAUUCAAAAUACCAAACAAAACACAAAAACGGCUAAAAAUUUCCAUAAAAAUUCACUGUUCCAUUGAUUUCUGAUUUCAUUCUUGAGGUUCUUCUUCUCAUGAAAUUUUCUCUGAUUCAUGUGGGGCUUCGAUUCUGCAUUUGGUUGAAAAUAGCCUGAUUUUGGUAUUGAAAAAUUCUGUUGUGAAGCUGGUUCUGUUGUGAUUUUCCCUCUAUUUGAGUUUGUUAUUGUUGUUACAUCUGUUCUAGUCUCAACUCAGUCCUUCAACUUUUUUUUGCUGUUUGUUACCGGGUACGCACCCCUUAUCUUAAGCAUGUAAAGAUCGGUUCUUGAAGUGUUUGAGGAAAGAUGAAGGCUUCUUUUUUCCUAAUCAGAUGUUCUUUUUUCCUUACUUUUCUUUUUAAGCUUGUUAUUUCAAUUUCUAUAUCGUAGCAUGUUCAAAAUGAGGUUGAGCCGUGCAAUUGAAUCUAAUAUUGAAGAUGUAGUGGGGCUGCUAUUUAGUAUUACUGAUUUUCUUCUACUUAAUCCCCUUAGGCUUCGUUACUGUUAAAAGUGUCAAUCGACUUAAGGUUCAUGGUGUGUUUGCAAGUUCAGACUACAUGAGUAUUUUGUUAAUGACAAAGUCAAUAUAGUUAUAGUUGAGCAUGAAUUUGAAAGCUCUAAAUGCUUUUGUUACUGUGGAAUGAGACAUGAAUUUGCAUGUUAUUUUGAAUUGGUUAGUGAUAGCAUCAAAAGGAUUUAUUGGUUCAUGAUUAAGUUUAAAAUGAUCAUUUGGCAUACUUUCUUUAUUUUGUAUUUCAACUUAUGUCCACUUAGGCUCGAUUUUUGGGUUUUCUUUUGCCUCCAGCUUAUGUUUUGGGUAAAAAAAUUUGGGCCUGAAUGCAAAGUCAUCGUGAAAUGAAUUUGCUGCCCCGGGCAGUCCCUAGACUCUCUGCCUUAAGCUAGAGAUUUUUGGUAGAUUGGUGGGCCUAUUGUUAGACCCGUGUUCUUUUUGAACAAAUAAGGGAUUAUAUACUUUUCUUUCGUGAACCAUGGAAUGACAAACUAAGUACAAACUUUAGUUUAGAAGUGGC
Molecule: long non-coding RNA, 1208 nt
Filed under: Nicotiana benthamiana
Lineage: Eukaryota; Viridiplantae; Streptophyta; Magnoliopsida; Solanales; Solanaceae
Description: long non-coding RNA (NBEN_LNC039303)
Source: RNAcentral